This 302-nucleotide ribosomal RNA is filed under the name uncultured bacterium. Its description in RNAcentral is "partial 16S ribosomal RNA". It matches the Rfam family "Bacterial small subunit ribosomal RNA", at positions 508 to 807 of the family's 1533-position model. The record is from RNAcentral.
GCAGCAGCCGCGGGAAUACAGAGGGUGCGAGCGUUAAUCGGAUUUACUGGGCGUAAAGCGUGCGUAGGCGGCUUUUUAAGUCGGAUGUGAAAUCCCUGAGCUUAACUUAGGAAUUGCAUUCGAUACUGGGAAGCUAGAGUAUGGGAGAGGAUGGUAGAAUUCCAGGUGUAGCGGUGAAAUGCGUAGAGAUCUGGAGGAAUACCGAUGGCGAAGGCAGCCAUCUGGCCUAAUACUGACGCUGAGGUACGAAAGCAUGGGGAGCAAACAGGAUUAGAUACCCCUGUAGUCCCUGUCUCUUAUAC